Long non-coding RNA from Benincasa hispida (wax gourd), 1875 nucleotides. RefSeq lists it as uncharacterized. NCBI's taxonomy places the organism in Eukaryota, Viridiplantae, Streptophyta, Magnoliopsida, Cucurbitales, Cucurbitaceae. The record is from RefSeq and is a predicted model, not a curated record.
UCUUGAUUGAAUAAUUUACCAAUAACGUUCCACCCCUAGUCGUUGACUCCAAGCGAAAGCGUUCACGUUCAAUCCAUCAACUCCAAGCGCAAACCCACGUUCAUCUAGUUGUCACACUCGAUCUCGGAGUCGGUUCAUCGUUCAUUCUUCCAGCCACCACUCGCAGUCGUACAUCCAGUCACUGCUCGGAGUCAUUCUUCCAGCCGCCCCUCAGAAUCGUUCAUCCAGCUGCCCCUCGAAAGUUUCAUUUUCACUUUCAUUUUGUCCAACUUCUAAGUUUCAUCUUCCAUCUUAGGGCGUGACUAAAAAUACAAGUCCGAGCACAAAGAAAACGACAAGAGGAAGUCACCACCCAACUCGACAUCUAUUGAAACAAAAGUGGUGAAGAAGAAUAAGCCAACUACUAUGAAUAAGACCUCCAGUGCAUGGGAAAAUUUUACAAAAGUUGAAGGUAAGUCCGAUUUCCCUAAAGCAAAGUAUAAUUAUUGUGAUGUUACCUAUGCAUGUGAUACUCAAAAGAAUGAUACCACAGACAUGUUAAAGCAUAUUCGUAUUAAGUGUAAAAAAUAUUCAAGAAGAAUAAAUGAUGCUAAAAAUUCACUUUUUUUUUAUGUUCCUACUAGAUGGAAUUCCACAUAUGUUAUGUUAGACAUUGCUGAAAAAUUUCAAAAAGCGUUUAAAAGAUUAAAAGUGGAGGAUGAAUAAUAUGCUUUGGAAUUUUUGGAAAACGACAAGAAAAAAGGAAAUGGUCCUAUUAUAAGUGAAGAUUGGGAUAAUGCACGUGCUUUAGUCAAGUUCUAGAAAUUAUUUCAUGAUGUUACUGUGUAAAUUUCUGCUUCAUUGACUGUAACAUCAAAUCUCUAUUUCCAUGAAAUUUGUUUAAUUCAACAACAAAUUCAACAUUAUUCAAUAUGUGAUAAUCCUUUGUUGUCUGCCAUGGCGAGUAGAAUGGAAGCAAAAUUUGACAAAUAUUGGAAGAAAAUGAUAGGAUAAAUCUUCUCUUGUAUAUUGCUAUUGUUUUAGAACCUCGUUAUAAGUUGAAAUUUGUGAUAUUUAUGCUUAUGAUUUUGUAUGAUGGAGUUAUGACAAAUGAAAUUGGGAAAAAAAUUGAAGAUGUGAUUAGAAGAAUGUACAAUAAGUAUAAAAGUGUUGAUGAGGAGGAGGAUAGCGCAACAAAUCAAAUUGAGAAAUUGGAGAAUUUGAUGGAGAAGAACAACGAUGAUGAAUCUCAAGCUGCUUACAAUUAUUAUAUGUUUGUUGAACACUUGAGUAAAAAAGACAGUGAAGGGAUUAAAACCGAGUUCGAUAAUUAUAUCAUUGAGCCAUGCGAAAAAUCAAAGAUUCUAAAGUACCAGUUUAUCCCCUCGUAGAUAGCCAAUUUGACAUCCUAACAUGGUGGAAAGCAAAUUUUGGAAAGUAUAUGAUUCUAGAAAAAAUGGCUAAGGAUAUAUUUUUUAUUCCUAUCUCAAUUGUAGCUUCAGAGUCCAUUUUCAACACGGGAGAUCAGGUUUUAGGUUUAUGUCAGAGUACAUUGUCUUCAAAAAUGGUUGAAGCUCUUGUUUGUGCACAAAAUUGGAUGUGUUCUAUACCAAUUAUACAUAGAGAUGAGAUAAUUGAAAUAAGAAUCGACCGUAUUGAAAAACUUGAGUCAGUGGAGAAGACGAAGCAUCCACGGUAGUUACUAGUUAAUCAAGGUGAUUGAAGAAUUGAGUGGGAGGCACCUUGGAUUUACUUUGCUUGGAAUUUAAUUUCAUGUUUGAACUUGGAUUUUAGGUUGUGUUUGAACUUUGAAUGGGGACUUAGACUAGAUGGAUAGAUUGUAUUUUAUGUUUGAACUUGGAUCAACUCUAGAGAGAUGUCUUCAAUAUUUAACUU